GGGCGCGUAGGGUAGUUUGGAUAUCCUCCGGCCUUGCGGAGGCCAGGACCCGUGUUCAAAUCACGGCGCGCCCG
This 74-nucleotide transfer RNA is filed under the name Thermoplasmatales archaeon SW_10_69_26. RNAcentral's name for it is "tRNA-Arg". The record is from RNAcentral. Lineage: Archaea; Methanobacteriati; Thermoplasmatota; Thermoplasmata; Thermoplasmatales.